CUUCGCCUGUGCUGCUGGGGUACCUCUUCCAGCUUAGUUCCAUCUGAAAGGAAUCUGGUCUGUGCUUGGAGACUGCACAGUAUGUGGGGCAUUCUGGCUUCAGAAGCACGCUGCUACUCCAGACUUGAGCACUGAUGUAAUGGGAAGGGGCAGAGGGAAUACUCAGAAUGUACUAUUUCAUGUUACAGGUGCUGACAGCAUGUGGAGCUGAGAGCAGUGAAAGUCCAAAGGACUGGGGCACCAGAGGAGGUCACCAGGAGCUGUCAUGACUGCAGGACAUAUAUAAGCCCUGCAGGAAAGAGAAAGGGAGAAUGAUUCAUUGGUUGAUGCAAGCCUCUGUAGAAGUACUGAUCUAGUUGGAUCGGUAACUAACUUGGAUGGAUUUGCAACCAGCAGCUCAGCAGCUGAUUCAUGAACCGUCCUUCCAGGAGGGAACAUCACAAAGAUGGGAGUAGACUGAAUCAAGCCUCUGUCAAGAACCACUUCUGCAAUACUGAAUUAACAUACCUAAGAUCAGCACAUCAGGAAGAUAGCCUUCUACCAAGAAUAGUGUGGAGAUACACCUUGUUCACAGAAGCUCUGGAAACAUCAUGAGACUCAGACAGAUACAGUGCAUCCUCCGAUUGCGGAGAUGUUGCUGCUCUCUGAGCACUGCACACUCUGUGUUCAUGACUGAUGGAAAUAAUGCCCGGUUUUGGGGGAGCUUUGUGUUAUGGGAGACAGUAACAGCUGCUCUAAUAGGGUGGCUUAUCACUUUCUUGUGGAGACAGGUUCUAUCAUCUCAUUAAUGCAAGCCCUGCCCCUUCACCUAGAUUCCUUCCCAGGCAGCUACAGUGGAUCUGCUCACCAAGGGAAUUUGUCCCACUGGAUUCCAUUUUUUUCUGUGCAGUUGAAUGAAAAGUGUGUGUCUUUUGAAGAACAGCAACUGAAAGAAAUAUUGAUGACUGCCAGGGUAUCUACAGAAAAUGAUAUGAAAAUUACUCUACUACAACAGUGAAGAAAAAUGGGCUUUGUUAACUCUUUCUUGUAGGUUGUUUAUAUUAAUAGGAACAAGUAAAGUUUUGUAUUUUUUCAGAGAAAUACACAAGGCCUUGAAUUGUAUUGUUUUAAUUGCAGCUAACUGAAUGAAUUAAGUGGAAAAACGCGCACAGUACUUUGAUUGUCUAAUUCUCUGUAUGUGAGGCUUUGGGAACAAUUUGUUACUAUAAAAGAACAGCAGUAACCAGAAAUCAGCCGACAUGUAAUUGCUAGGCAGAGGGGCAGUUUGGGGAAAGCUGAUACUUAUUUAUAAAUUAUUAAAUAAAAGCACAUAAUAUGAGGAUCA
This 1324-nucleotide long non-coding RNA is filed under the name Parus major (Great Tit). RNAcentral describes it as "lncRNA (ENSPMJG00000015403.1)". The record is from RNAcentral. Lineage: Eukaryota; Metazoa; Chordata; Aves; Passeriformes; Paridae.